GAUGAACGCUGGCGGCGUGCCUAAUACAUGCAAGUCGUACGGAAAGGCCCUUCGGGGUACUCGAGUGGCGGACGGCUGAGUAACGCGUGGGAACGUGCCCCAAAGUGAGGGAUAACGAACCGAAAGGUGUGCUAAUACCGCAUAUGGUCUUCGGAUUAAAGCUUCGGCGCUUUGGGAAGCGGCCCGCGUACGAUUAGAUAGUUGGUGAGGUAAUGGCUCACCAAGUCGACGAUCGUUAGCUGGUCUGAGAGGAUGAUCAGCCAGACUGGGACUGAGACACGGCCCAGACUCCUACGGGAGGCAGCAGUAAGGAAUCUUCCACAAUGGGGGCAACCCUGAUGGAGCAACGCCGCGUGCAGGAUGAAGGUUUUCGGAUCGUAAACUGCUUUUAUAAGUGAAGAAUAUGACGGUAACUUAUGAAUAAGGAUCGGCUAACUACGUGCCAGCCGCCGCCGUAA
RNAcentral lists this ribosomal RNA (458 nucleotides) under uncultured bacterium. RNAcentral describes it as "partial 16S ribosomal RNA". It matches the Rfam family "Bacterial small subunit ribosomal RNA", at positions 28 to 523 of the family's 1533-position model. The record is from RNAcentral.